GUCGAUUUAGUUUAAAAUUAAAACCAAUAAUUCCAGAUUAUUUAAUGAAAGUUAAAAUCUUUUAAUCGAUA
Molecule: transfer RNA, 71 nt
Filed under: Theileria orientalis
Lineage: Eukaryota; Apicomplexa; Aconoidasida; Piroplasmida; Theileriidae
Description: tRNA-Trp
Rfam family: tRNA
About the family: Transfer RNA (tRNA) molecules are approximately 80 nucleotides in length.
Source: RNAcentral